This 384-nucleotide unclassified non-coding RNA is filed under the name Hevea brasiliensis (rubber tree). Lineage: Eukaryota; Viridiplantae; Streptophyta; Magnoliopsida; Malpighiales; Euphorbiaceae. The record is from RNAcentral.
AGAAGACCUUUAAAUAUAGGAUGUUUAGAGAGAGAAAAUCAUCUGGGAGUCAUGUCGCCGCUGAAACGGGCUAAAAAAUAUCCCUCAAUAGCAGCAUGUAGAGGUUCGGGCUACCAGUCGAUAGCGGCUGACCUCGAUGGCACUCUUCUCUUGUCCGGCAAUUCCUUCUCCUACUUCAUGCUCGUGGCCAUCGAAGCUGGAAGUCUCUUACGUGGUCUGAUUUUGCUUCUGUCUGUACCUCUCGUGAUCAUAUCCUAUUUAUUCAUAUCUGAGAACAUUGGAGUCCAAAUCCUAAUCUUCAUCUCCUUCUGUGGCCUCAAGAUUCGCGACAUCGAGCUGGCUUCCCGCAAUGUCUUGCCCAGGUUUUAUGCUGCGGAUGUGAGG